This 436-nucleotide unclassified non-coding RNA is filed under the name uncultured Thelephoraceae. Its description in RNAcentral is "sequence contains ITS2". The stretch from base 1 to 155 matches the Rfam family "5.8S ribosomal RNA". The record is from RNAcentral. Lineage: Eukaryota; Fungi; Basidiomycota; Agaricomycetes; Thelephorales; Thelephoraceae.
AACUUUUGACAACGGAUCUCGUGGCUCUCGCAUCGAUGAAGAACGCAGCGAAAUGCGAUAAGUAAUGUGAAUUGCAGAAUUCAGUGAAUCAUCGAAUCUUUGAACGCACCUUGCGCCCUUUGGCUAUUCUGAAGGGCAUGCCUGUUUGAGUAUCAUGAACACCUCAACUUUCAUGGUCCGCCAUGAUGAGCUUGGACUUUGGGGGUCUUGCCGGCCUAGGGCCGGCUCCUCUCAAAUGGAUCAGCUUGCCAGUGUUUGGUGGCGUCACAGGUGUGAUAACUAUCUACGCUUGUGGUUUUCUGCCAUAUAACCUUCAGUGAUGGAGGUUCUCUGGAGCUCACAGAUGUCUCUCCUUGGGGAGGACAGCUUUUGAACGUUUGAUCUCAAAUCAGGUAGGACUACCCGCUGAACUUAAGCAUAUCAAUAAGCGGAGGCU